This 209-nucleotide long non-coding RNA is filed under the name Elaeis guineensis (African oil palm). Its description in RNAcentral is "long non-coding RNA (EGUI_LNC075717)". The record is from RNAcentral. Lineage: Eukaryota; Viridiplantae; Streptophyta; Magnoliopsida; Arecales; Arecaceae.
AGUUCAUCCGGAGUCAGGAAGCAUGGAUGGCGCCCGGUGCAAAAACUGGGCGGAGCCCAGCCCCAGGUGUGGGUUCAUCUACAGAGCGAGGGACCUGGUGGGUUGAGGCGGAAGAACUCCCGGAACCACUGGGAGCGGAAGAGCCGGAAGACAUUUCGAAUAACUCCGAAUGAAGACUCUAAAGAUCCCAAAGAAGAUGGACAGGACAA